RNAcentral lists this ribosomal RNA (253 nucleotides) under uncultured bacterium. RNAcentral describes it as "partial 16S ribosomal RNA". It matches the Rfam family "Bacterial small subunit ribosomal RNA", at positions 524 to 776 of the family's 1533-position model. The record is from RNAcentral.
UACAGAGGGCUCAAGCGUUGUUCGGAUUCAUUGGGCGUAAAGGGUGCGUAGGUGGCGCCGUAAGUCAGGUGUGAAAUUUCGGAGCUUAACUCCGAAACUGCAUUUGAUACUGCGGUGCUUGAGGACUGGAGAGGAGACUGGAAUUUACGGUGUAGCAGUGAAAUGCGUAGAGAUCGUAAGGAAGACCAGUGGCGAAGGCGGGUCUCUGGACAGUAACUGACACUGAAGCACGAAGGCCAGGGGAGCAAACGGG